Molecule: non-coding RNA, 985 nt
Organism: Macaca mulatta (Rhesus monkey)
Lineage: Eukaryota; Metazoa; Chordata; Mammalia; Primates; Cercopithecidae
Source: RefSeq, a predicted model, not a curated record
GAAUGCUGGACCCGGUAUUUAGCCCAAGGUUGGGUGUCACUUGCUGAGACCAGCUCAGUCUUGGAGACACAAACCAAGCAGUGCUAGAGGAAUAAAGACACAGACACAGAAAUAGAGUUCAAAAUGGGAUCAGGGGAUAACCGCCUUAACAGCUGAGAGCCUGGAACAAAGUUUGAUCCACCUAUUUAUUGACAGUAGGCCCAUGAUAAACAUCAUUUCUGCAGUUAAUAGAUUAACUAGAAUUAUUUUUUACAAAGAAGAAAGGGACAUGCUCUAGCUUGUUAUCUGCAGUAGAAGCAUGUCCUUAAGGCACAGAUCACUCAUGCCAUUGUUUGUGAUUUAGAAACACCUUAAGCAGUUUUCUACUCUGGGUGGGCCAAAUAUUACUUGCCCUCAUUCUGGUAAACCAGCAACUUCCAGCACAGGCAUCAUAGCAAUCACAAGCAUGUCACAGUGAUGCAGAGAUCUUAUUUAUGGCCAGUUUGUCCUGGUCUCUUCGAGGCCAGUCUUGGGGUGUGUUCCCAGCAGUUCUUAACAAUUGCUCUACUGUGAUUUUUAGAUAGACUCCACUUGUUUCCCACGGUUACUCUCUCUACCAGGUGGGGCUUCCUGCAGAACCACACUACCUCAGAAGCUACCGGGCUGUUUGCUUAUCAGUGCUGCUGGGUUAGAGUCUCUGUGACCAAGCUGGUCUCGGCAAGUGGUGCCCAAAUGUAGGGCUCAAAGCUGGGUCAGAGAGUCACCAGAAGAAAAGUUGGAGAAUGUGGAACUAUACUGGAAGACACUCUGCUUUUAAGCAAUCCCUGUGGUGAAGUUGCAGGACCAAUCCACUCCUCACUAGAUGAUAUUUUUACUCUUAUCUGACCUUAUUGCUGCUCACACUUUAUGUCCCAGGAUGGAAAGAUGAUGGAGGAGUGCCCCCUUAUAAUAGGAAGCACCUGCUUGACUGGAAACCAAAUUCGAGGUAAAUUCAAGGGGCUGUGUG